GCUGUUUUUAAUUCCUAAACCUAAUAUUUACCUCUGAGCAUUCAAAGUUAUUUUGAAUUUUAUCUUGACAAAUCACUAAGGGGUCUAUUCUUCUUUCAGUGCGUGCAUUUAACUCUCAUUAAUGUUCAUAUGAGUUAUGCACAGAGCUCAGCUCCAGCAGGUUUUUCCAGCAGGGCCUGAGUCCCAGCCCUUAUAUGGUGUUUCAAAGUUUCUUAUGCUUCUGAACAAACACAGAAUUCUUCUGCCCAAAUGGAGCAGAACAGUGCUUCCUCCCACCCUCCACUGUGACCUUCUGGUCUGCUACACCUAUCAGUGAUUUUAAUGUUUUCUUUGAGGCUGGAGGAAGGAAGAAGGGAGAACUACCCCCCCCAUUUUUGACAAAAGCCAAAACCACAGGAAACACGAUAUAGCUGAAAUUAACUGUGCUGCAAGGAAUUCUGGACUGCCUGAUGGUGUCUGACAUAAUUUUGGUCCAUUUCAAUGCUGUGGUUUGCAGAGAAGAAUCAAAUUGGAAGGAAUUUUGUUGGUUCUGGGGCGUCCAGUGCCCACAGUCCACUGUACUAUCUGUCCUGAGAGUGAGGACACAAGAUUCCUAGUCCACUUGGCUCCCAGAUUUUGGAGCAGUAUUGAAGACAGGAACCCUGAAGAGAUUUCAGAAGUGGGAAUCUGAAAGCUUUGGGAUUCAGUAUGAUGACAGAUGUCAUCCUGCAGAUACCUACAAGCUACAGUGCAAGCCAUUUUCAGGCAUGAGGCAAGGGUCCUUAUCCCAAAACCUCUGUUUUGGCUGAGGUUGGCAAGGCUUCCAGACAAGUGCCAGUACUGAGAACUUCAGUGGAAGGACAUACAGCAGUCUGGGAAACUGGGCUUCCCAACAGCUCAGCAGACAAGCUAGCAAGAAGCCAGACAUGGUAAGACCUGCCUAACAGACAGAAUGUCACCAGGUAUCAGCUGAAAUACUCUGGGGACAAUUUAUAGGUUUUGAUGAACCAGCAUUUUUAACAAGCAAAUUUCAUUGGAGAAUUCCCAGUGAACUGUAGUUUCCAGCAGUUUGAGAUGGUUCAGAUAUUGUUUGGUUUAAACCAGGUCUUUUUGAAAAAUGGAAGCAAAUGUCAAUUACCAUGUACAAAAAUAUGAUGUAAAAGUUAUCUCUUUUGGGGGGCAUGGGUUGCUUAUAGAAAGCUAGUUCCUAGGUAAAUACAAUGUAUUUUCUGUACAGAAGGUGAAGUGUUCUAGGAUUUUUCUCCCUUUUCACUUCCUAGAUGGAGCAACCUGGGCGAUCAGACAAUCAAGGAAGGUGGGGGUAAAUGAAUAGCUCC
Molecule: long non-coding RNA, 1316 nt
Filed under: Cyanistes caeruleus (blue tit)
Lineage: Eukaryota; Metazoa; Chordata; Aves; Passeriformes; Paridae
Description: lncRNA (ENSCCEG00000004800.1)
Source: RNAcentral